UACGUAGGGUGCAGGCGUUAAUCGGAAUUACUGGGCGUAAAGCGUGCGCAGGCGGUUUGCUAAGACAGGUGUGAAAUCCCCCGGCUCAACUGGGGAACUGCACAGGAGACUGCUUGGCUUGAGUUCGGGAGAGGGAAGCGGAAUUCCGGGUGUAGCGGUGAAAUGCGUAGAUAUCCGGAGGAACACCGGUGGCGAAGGCGGCUUCCUGGACCGACACUGACGCUGAGGCGCGAAAGCCAGGGGAGCAAACGGG
RNAcentral lists this ribosomal RNA (253 nucleotides) under uncultured bacterium. RNAcentral describes it as "partial 16S ribosomal RNA". It matches the Rfam family "Bacterial small subunit ribosomal RNA", at positions 524 to 776 of the family's 1533-position model. The record is from RNAcentral.